AACGUACGCUGGCGGCACGCCUAAUACAUGCAAGUCGAACGAAGUAGCAAUACUUAGUGGCAGACGGGUGAGUAACAUGUGGGUAUCUUCCCCCGAGACUGGGAUAACCUGGUGAAAACUAGGCUAAUACCGGAUAAGACCACGUCCCGCAAGGGAUGCGGGAAAAGGAGGCUCAACCUCCACUUGGAGAUGAGUUCGCGGACCAUUAGCUUGUUGGUGAGAUAACAGCUCACCAAGGCUACGAUGGUUAGCCGGCCUGAGAGGGUGAACGGCCACACUGGAACUGAGACACGGUCCAGACUCCCUACGGGAGGCAGCAGUGGGGGAAUAUUGCGCAAUGGGCGAAAGCCUGACGCAGCAACACCGCGUGAGCGAUG
This 377-nucleotide ribosomal RNA is filed under the name uncultured Nitrospina sp. RNAcentral's name for it is "bacterial SSU rRNA". It matches the Rfam family "Bacterial small subunit ribosomal RNA", at positions 29 to 410 of the family's 1533-position model. Lineage: Bacteria; Pseudomonadati; Nitrospinota; Nitrospinia; Nitrospinales; Nitrospinaceae. The record is from RNAcentral.